This 270-nucleotide ribosomal RNA is filed under the name uncultured prokaryote. Its description in RNAcentral is "partial 16S ribosomal RNA". It matches the Rfam family "Bacterial small subunit ribosomal RNA", at positions 524 to 792 of the family's 1533-position model. The record is from RNAcentral.
UACGGAGGGAGCAAGCGUUGUUCGGAAUUACUGGGCGUAAAGAGCGCGUAGGCGGUUUGGUAAGUCAGAUGUGAAAUCCAAUGGCUCAACCAUUUGAACUGCAUAUGAUACUGCCAGACUUGAGAUCAGUAGAGGAGAGCGGAAUUCCCAGUGUAGCGGUGGAAUGCGUAGAUAUUGGGAAGAACACCGGUGGCGAAGGCGGCUCUCUGGACUGGUUCUGACGCUGAGGCGCGAAAGCUAGGGGAGCAAACAGGAUUAGAUACCCCCGUA